Molecule: long non-coding RNA, 408 nt
Organism: Saccostrea echinata
Lineage: Eukaryota; Metazoa; Mollusca; Bivalvia; Ostreida; Ostreidae
Exons: 4
Source: RefSeq, a predicted model, not a curated record
UCGUGAUGACUACUAAUAUCGCUAUUGUACUCUCCUUAUGCAUGGUUUUGUCUGUGGCAUGUCAGCAGAUUGUACAGCGUGGAACAGCCUUGCCGCAACAUACGAGGAUUCGGCGAAGUAUCCCAGGCGUAGGUACAUUUAACAAAGUCCUUACUGAGAGUCGUAUGCCAAUUGCGCAUGGACUCAAUAUAACACUACAUGGACGAUGAAAACACCAAAUAUUUUAAAUAACGGUUUCUGUUGAUAACGUUGAAGGACAUCUACCCUGGGUUUUUUUCUCUGAUAUGUGUUGUGAUUUUUGACAAUCUUUGUUCCGUUUUUGAAAUUUGGAAAUUUAAUUAAACCUCCUGGGAAAGACGAGCUGUGUAUGAAAAUGAAGGAAAUUGCAUUAAAAAUUAUAUAGCUACA